This is a long non-coding RNA of Homo sapiens (human), 1074 nucleotides long. Ensembl annotates it as taxilin gamma Y-linked (pseudogene). Its record names the gene TXLNGY. Lineage: Eukaryota; Metazoa; Chordata; Mammalia; Primates; Hominidae. The record is from Ensembl.
GGGAAAAUAAUGUGGAAGAAACUAACUGUGGAGCAGCAUCUUACUUAUAUUUAAUUAUAGUAUAGUGAAUAUCUGGAUCAGCAGAUGAUACUUAUUUUAUAGUAGGGCAUUUGCUUUUCUCUAAUUAUCUACUUAGAAAAAGCUGCUUGCUUUUAAAUGAGAGAUUUCUGGUCAUAAAUAAGGGGGAGGAAUUAUAGUUUAAAAGCAACACCUCAUGGGAGCAAUAAAUGAACUCACAUAGCAGUAGCUUCUUUUUCGCGAGCUUUAUCUGUAGGUCUGUACUUUUAACAUACAUUAUUUUGGAUAAUAAGGAGGAACAUAUGCAGCAGAAAAAAGAGGAGGAAGAAGUUCUUAAAGAAGUAACUGCACAUUUCCAAAUUACUUUAACUGAAACUCAAGCCCAGCUGGAACAGCAUGAAAUACACAAUGCCAAACUGCAGCAGGAGAACAUGGAAAUGGGAGAAAAGCUAAAGAAGCUCACUGACCAGUAUGCACUGAGGGAAGAGGUAAACGGCGUUUGGUUUGUUUAUAGACAGCUGCUCACCAGUAGCAAAAGCUACACCCUACCGUAAAGUAAAAACUCUUUCACAGGACAGUAUUUUAGAACUUUUGUGUAUGCACAGUGGAAAUUACAUGUUUAUUAGGAAAAGAGUAGAAACCUGUAAACAGAAUGACUAAAUUGGAGCAUCACUUGGCCCAAGUGUCAGUGGAGUAGGAUAAGUAAAGGGAUUUCUAGGAGAUGUGUACCACUUGUCUCCCAUAUGAUGCUACAAGAUUGUCAAUAUAGCAUACAGAUAUUUUUCUCUUAUGCAGUCUAAUAAUACAGAUUUGUUCCCUAAAUACUCUGUAUCUCAGAUUUCUGUGACAAUCUGAACAAUAUAAAUAGGAGAAUUGUGCUAUUUGUGAGAAUAAGGAACCUACUAAUUACCCAUCACCAAGUCACAUUGUUUGUGUAAUCAAUGAAGUAAAAAGUUUGUGGAGGACUCAAUAGUUGUCGAACCUAGUCAUUGGAGUUAUUUUAUAAAUUGAUGUGGAAGUUGUAUGAUGGCUAAAUAAAAAACAAAUAGGUGAUAA